Molecule: ribosomal RNA, 831 nt
Filed under: uncultured Nosema
Lineage: Eukaryota; Fungi; Microsporidia; Nosematidae
Description: SSU rRNA
Rfam family: Microsporidia small subunit ribosomal RNA
Source: RNAcentral
GUGCCAGCCGCCGCGGUUUUUCCAGCUCCAGAAGCGUCUACGGUGAUUGCUGCAGUUAAAAGGUUCGUAGUCGGGCAGGGAAACCGUGGGGAAAGGAGGCUGCUCAAGGGAGUGGGGAGCACGGGACAAGGGUUGAGAGGGGCGGACGGGGGCAGGGGGAUUUGGCAGCUAGAGGUGAAAUUCGGAGAUUUGCCGAGGACCGGCAGAGGCGAAGGCGCCUGCCAGGGACGCUUUCAUUGAUCAAGGACGAAGGCCGGAGGAUCGAAGACGAUUAGAGACCGUUGUAGUUCCGGCGGUAAACGAUGCCGACAGGGCCGCGCGGGGCAGGGAGGCUGCGCGGGGCUCGAAGAGAAAUCAAGAGUGCGUGGGCUCUGGGGAAAGUAUAGUCGCAAGACGGAAACUUAAAGGAAAUUGACGGAAGGACACCACCAGGAGUGGAGCAUGCGGCUUAAUUUGACUCAACACGGGGCAGCUUACCAGGGGAGGACGCCGCGGGGAUCGGAGGGGCGCGGACCGGAGGAGAAUCGGCAGGGAGUGGUGCAUGGCCGUUCCUGGCCCGUGGGGUGACCUGUCUGGUUGAUUCCGCUAACGGGCGCGACCUCGGCGCGGCAGGGGGCGCGGACUACCAGCGUGGAGCGGGGGGAAGAGAGGCGAUAACAGGUCAGUGAUGCCCUUGGAAGUUCUGGGCUGCACGCGUGCUACAGUGCGCGCAGGAGAGCGGGGCGAGAGGCCCGGGGGGAGCGGCGCGCGCGGGGGAUGGACGGCUGGGAGGCCGUACUGAACGCGGAAUUCCCAGUACGCGCGGGUCACCAGCCCGCGCAGAAGAGGUCC